Long non-coding RNA from Labrus mixtus (cuckoo wrasse), 551 nucleotides. RefSeq lists it as uncharacterized. The transcript has 2 exons. The record is from RefSeq and is a predicted model, not a curated record. NCBI's taxonomy places the organism in Eukaryota, Metazoa, Chordata, Actinopteri, Labriformes, Labridae.
CUGCAGUCAAACAUGUUCUGCUGCUGACCCUCCCUGACCCUGCAGCUCCAUCAGGACACACCCAGCCUGCAGACACAUUUCAUCCUUCUCUCCGAGCAGCGUCACAUUUCAAACCCCGUCUGAGCGUCUGCAGCAGCGUUUGUUGUCUCUGGUUGUUUUGGGAGAAUCCAGACAUUAAGACUCCUCUCAUGUUUGAAAAACAUUCAAAUCAAUGAUUUCAUCAGUUUUGUUUUCUGUGAGGCGGCGGCAGCAGCAGCGUGCGGGUGCAGACGGCGAGGACGGUGUCAGAUGGAGGUCCAGAUCCUGUCUGUAUUUUUAGCGUUCAGAGCGGAGCCAGGAGGUGUCGGGUUUCACAACGUGGGCACAUUACGCCUCACUGAGGUGGCUUGUCAGCUUGGAGCAGAAUUCAGGACCAUGAUGCUUUGCAGCAGACACUAAACACUAAACACCUCUGACACCCACUCAGAGGAUUAACAAACAUCACACACGUCAUGUAGCGUUUAAAUUUACGAUGAUAUCUGAAAUGUUUGAGAUAAAAACAACAAACUGAA